ACCAUCAUCGUCCAGCGGUUUAGGAUAUCGGGUUUUCAAACAAACGGCAAAGUUGAAUUCCCCGGAGACCGGGGUUCGAACCCCCGUGAUGGUG
This is a non-coding RNA of Hypomontagnella submonticulosa, 94 nucleotides long. The record is from the annotation of a GenBank genome assembly. NCBI's taxonomy places the organism in Eukaryota, Fungi, Ascomycota, Sordariomycetes, Xylariales, Hypoxylaceae.